Molecule: long non-coding RNA, 1278 nt
Organism: Panicum virgatum (switchgrass)
Lineage: Eukaryota; Viridiplantae; Streptophyta; Magnoliopsida; Poales; Poaceae
Exons: 2
Source: RefSeq, a predicted model, not a curated record
CCAUGGCGGCAGCUCUGAUCCUGUGUCGCAGCCGCCGCCCAUGCUGUUCCUCUAUGGAACGUGGUGCAACAGUGGCGUGAUGCUGCGCAGGCGCUUGUGCAUGGUGAGGAGGUUGCUGACCAGCUGCGAGAGCUACGCCACGGCAGCCUCGACAUGGCUUAUCGGGUGUCCUGGUUGCCUAGCGCCGCGCCGAGUGAUGCGUGGAGGUCGUCCUCCGAGAGCCGCGCCGCCGGUCGAUGCCCACCGGGAGCCGCAUCGCCGUAGAUUGAGGCGAGGAGCGUGGGCAGCGGAGAAGAAGCAGGGGAGGAGAGAGAGACGUGGGGAGAGGGAGUGAAUAGGAUGGGACAUAAGGUUGGGAUGGAUCCCACUCGUCAGUGACUAUAGGAGUGGGUAAAAUAGAUUUGAGUAGAAAAUAUAGAUAGACUGGUAUAUAGAGGAUGAGAUAUAGAGUAUGAUGAGUGCGGAUAGCCUUAGUUUCUUUUAGUUUUAGUUCUGUAGUGGCAUCGGUGAGGUGGUGGUGACGGUGAGGUUGUGGAGCAAGGUCUCUCCGGUUUUUUCUCUACCUUGACAACGUUUGAUGCUGUGCCCAGGAAGGGUUAGUGAGCAUUGGUUCUGCUAAUCUGAAGGUUCUUUUCAGAUUCUUGCAGUUGGUAUGUCAAUCGGGAGAUGCAGUUGACUAUCUUUUGUUGCAUCAACUUCAACCUCUUUCUUCGAUUUGUUAUGCGACAAGAUCCAGUUUCUUGAACCCUCUGUUUUGGGGUGUUCGCCUAGCUGAUGUUCUUUCAGUAGUUGCUAGAUCUUAUUGUUGGCAGCGUGUAGUUUUUGCGGUCUUUAAAGUCUUAUGCGGAGAUGGCGUUUGCAGGUGUCCCUUUCCCUUGUUGACUUUCCAAUGCUUUUUUCAAGCACCAGUGGACGGAACAAUCGAAUGAAUAAUACGAAGAACUUUACAAUCCAUGUGGGGAGUCAAAUAUGGCCUCCAUUAUUGUCAAAGCCCUAUAUGUAGCUUCUAGCUUGAAUGGUGAGUUAUGCAGUUGUGGAGCACUUAUCAUUUUGCUAAGAAUCAAGUGCUCUUUAAAAGUCUACUUGUGUGCUGUACUGAACCCGUCUAGCCUUCAGUUAUGUGAAGGCUAUCGCCAAUGAACACCUCCUUUAUGCUGUAACCACUAAUAUGCUUACUUCUUCCCUAAUUAGCUGCAGCUUUAAGAUGCCUACGGCAAUGACAUGUUUACUGUAUGAACCAAUAUUGUUAACAUGAGCCCAUCAAAAUCUUUAUUUGUC